AAACGACUCUCGGCAACGGAUAUCUCGGCUCUCGCAUCGAUGAAGAACGUAGCGAAAUGCGAUACUUGGUGUGAAUUGCAGAAUCCCGUGAACCAUCGAGUCUUUGAACGCAAGUUGCGCCCAAAGCCUUUUGGUUGAGGGCACGUCUGCCUGGG
This 155-nucleotide ribosomal RNA is filed under the name Clusia valerioi. Its description in RNAcentral is "5.8S ribosomal RNA". It matches the Rfam family "5.8S ribosomal RNA". Rfam says of the family: 5.8S ribosomal RNA (5.8S rRNA) is a component of the large subunit of the eukaryotic ribosome. It is transcribed by RNA polymerase I as part of the 45S precursor that also contains 18S and 28S rRNA. The record is from RNAcentral. Lineage: Eukaryota; Viridiplantae; Streptophyta; Magnoliopsida; Malpighiales; Clusiaceae.